RNAcentral lists this ribosomal RNA (958 nucleotides) under Prymnesium parvum. RNAcentral describes it as "partial Bacterial large subunit ribosomal RNA". It matches the Rfam family "Bacterial large subunit ribosomal RNA", at positions 715 to 1723 of the family's 2925-position model. Lineage: Eukaryota; Haptophyta; Prymnesiales; Prymnesiaceae. The record is from RNAcentral.
GCGAAACCGUGUGAUCUACCCAUGGGCAGGCUGAAGCUGUAGUAACAUACAGUGGAGGGCCGAACCGGUUGACGUUGAAAAGUCUUCGGAUGACCUGUGGGUAGGGGUGAAAGGCCAAUCAAACUCGGAAAUAGCUCGUACUCCCCGAAAUGCAUUUAGGUGCAGCGUUGUAUGUAUUUAUAUAGAGGUAGAGCUACUGAUUGGAUGCGGGGGCUUCACCGCCUACCAAUUCCUGACAAACUCCGAAUGCUAUGAAAUGUUAAUCAGCAGUGAGGGCAUGGGUGCUAAGGUCCAUGUCCGAGAGGGAAAGAACCCAGACCAUCAGCUAAGGUCCCAAAAUAUAUGUUAAGUUGAAAUAACGAGGUUGGACUGCCCAGACAGCUAGGAUGUUGGCUUGGAAGCAGCCAUUCAUUUAAAGAGUGCGUAACAGCUCACUAGUCGAGCGGUUCGGCAUGGAUAAUAAUCGGGCAUAAACAUACUACCGAAGCUAUGGCAUCUUUAAGAUGGGUAGGGGAGCAUUCUAUAUGUAUUGAAGUUGAGCUGUGAGGCUUGGUGGAACGUAUAGAAAAGAAAAUGUAGGCAUAAGUAACGAUAAUGCGGGCGAGAAACCCGCACUCCGAAAAACCAAGGUUUCCUCAGCUAUGCUAAUCAGCUGAGGGUCAGUCGGGGCCUAAGGCGAACCCGAAAGGGACAGUCGAUGGACAACGGGUUAAUAUUCCCGUACCUGCCCACAACAAAAGUGACGGAGGCGUGAAUUUGGUGCGCACUGACGGAAUAGUGCGUUGAAGCCAGUGGCAACACGGCGAUAGUACACUGAGGCCUCGGCCAAGGUGAUAAUCCAGAGUAGCGACUUCCAAGAAAAGCGAGUGAGGCAGCCCGUACCCCAAACCGACACAGGUGGUUGGGAUGAGAAUUCUAAGGAGCUCGAGAGAUUCAUGGCUAAGGAACUAGGCAAAAU